RNAcentral lists this ribosomal RNA (465 nucleotides) under uncultured bacterium. RNAcentral's name for it is "partial 16S ribosomal RNA". It matches the Rfam family "Bacterial small subunit ribosomal RNA", at positions 28 to 507 of the family's 1533-position model. The record is from RNAcentral.
GACGAACGCUGGCGGCGUGCUUAACACAUGCAAGUCGAACGGAAAGGCCCCUUUGGGGGUACUCGAGUGGCGAACGGGUGAGUAACACGUGAGUAACCUGCCCUUGACUUCGGGAUAACUUCAGGAAACUGGGGCUAAUACCGGAUAGGAAUCCUUGCUGCAUGGUGGGGGUUGGAAAGCUUCGGCGGUUUUGGAUGGACUCGCGGCUUAUCAGUUUGUUGGUGGGGGAGUGGCUUACCAAGGCUUUGACGGGUAGCCGGCCUGAGAGGGCGAACGGCCACAAUGGGGCUGGGAUACGGCCCAGACUCCUACGGGAGGCAGCAGUGGGGAAUAUUUCACAAUGGGCGGAAGCCUGAUGCAGCAACGCCGCGGGCGGGAUGACGGCCUUCGGGUUGGAAACCGCUUUCAGCAGGGGCGGAGCUUGUGGUGACGGUACCUGCAGAAGAAGCACCGGCUAACUACGUG